This 21-nucleotide unclassified non-coding RNA is filed under the name Mus musculus (house mouse). RNAcentral's name for it is "oocyte_clustered_small_RNA1356". Lineage: Eukaryota; Metazoa; Chordata; Mammalia; Rodentia; Muridae. The record is from RNAcentral.
GCUAUCUGUCCCUUGCUUCAG